GCUCGACGCAAGUGUGUCGCUGCGCGCGGUGAGGGGCCCUGGCCGAGGGAUCCGCGCGCCGGGGCCUCGUCGGAGGGCAAGGGUCGCGCUCCCGCGGGCGCUGAGGGUCCCCAGCCCGCGAGCUGGGCCUGUGCGUGCUUAAGGUUUAAGGAAGACGGGCUCGACCGGCGAGUGGCGCACGCUGCGAGAACCCCAGGCCCACGCUGUCGGUCAGCGCUGGCGGUUUGUGUCCCGGGGUCGGCUCAGCAAGCUUCCUGGGAAUGGGCCCGAAGCGGGUGAGAGCCGACUUCUCCGCAACUUGGUCAAGUUCAGAGACUCACCGUCGAAAGAGACCGCCUUUGCAGUCUUCCCCUCCCUGGCGAGAGCGCUCUGAGCCUUUGCGGUGCUCCGGGGCUGACUAACGCUGGGCCCUGCCUUACGCUGGGCCCUGCCUUGAGCACCUAGUCCCCUUCAGGUUUUGGGCUGAGAGGGGUAGGCAGCAAGGCCUGGGGCGCGGCCAGGAAACCUCAAACCCGAUUUUCUAGUUUUGGCCUGAAGAAGCCGCAAAGUCAGUGGGAGUUAACUUUGUGGCCUUUGGCGUUUUUGAAAACCUCUGCAAGGCGGGAACAGCACAGAGAAACCGCGGUGCAGUUCAUCAAAAAAUGUUUUGGGGGACCGUAUCUGGAGAGUUUUCUCAGAGAGUGUUGUAUAAUCUUGCAAAUUAGCGAGCUGGUAUGUAUCUCGCCACCGGUGCACUGAAUAGUAUCUUCCUCCAGACAGGGAUUGAGAAACGGAAAUACCACCACCCUCCAGCCAAACUUGUGAGGACUGAUUGCAGGGAAACUGGUGCUCCAGAUGUUGCACUAGAGGCGCUGCAAGUGUGAGCAGGUGGCAUUGGGCCUGCAUCACAGGUUGUAGCAAAUGUUCUCAACAUUUCUAUCGAGACUUCCUUAUAUGCACUUUCAAGAGGAGCCCAAGAGCCUCAUCCCUGUGGUAGCUACCAUUCUCUGAUAUAAGCUGUUGUUCACCAGGGAGCUUUGGCAAGAGAAUUGGCCAGAUCAGCGAGUUCAUCUCCCUUGGGGAAAAACAACUUGAAGCUCAUCUCUGUUGAAGAAUGAUAGUUGUUUUGGUGGAGGGACUGAUUCUAGAGCUUCCUACUCUGCCAUCUUCCAUGACACUGCUCCCUGCCAUGUCCACUCUUAAAAGUGUUCCAGUUUGGAAAAUAAUUUUUUUGGUCACCCAUUGGAUUAAUGGGCAAAACAUGAACUUCACUCUGAAUUUCUCCUGAAAUUUUAAUUUAAAGUUUACUUUUGCAAGACUCAUUUUGAAUUACAGAGAUCAUCUUCUACCUGUAGCCUCUUUUGGGAGGAUUUCCAAAAGAGUAAGUUGACUUUCCGGGAUAUGAUACUUUGGGAAACAUUUGGCUUAAAUAAUGGAUACUUUUAUGUUGGCUCCUGCUAAUGUGUUAGAGAUUAUUCUUCAAAGAGUCCAGUUGAAUACCAGUGUCUUUUGGUGAGGGGUGGGAAUACAGAAUCAUUUAUAAGCCUGAUGGUACUAUUUGUCAGUUUUCUUUUUCUUUUUUAAACUUUAAUAGGCAUCAGGAUCAACUUCAUAAAAAAAGGUAAUGUCAGGCUUAAGAUUUUAGCAAAUACAUUUUGGUGGAUAUUCCAUGAGUUUUUUAAUGGAAUGUGAGGAUAAAAGUCAAAGAUGUUGAUUGUUUUUGUAUAACCUGGUGGCUAUAGUUAACAAUAUGACACUUCUACUUUAAAAUAUGUUAAGAGGAUAGAUCUCUUGUUAAGUGUUCUUAGGACAUAACAAAAAAAAAAGACACAAGAGAAAACUAGGGAAGUUUUGGAGAUAAUAGAUAUGUUUAUAGUAUGUUGAUAGUGGUGAUAGUAUCAGAGGUGUAUGCAUAAGUCCAAACUUAUCACAAUGUAUACAUUAAAUAUGUGCCAUUUUUAUAUGUCACUUAUAAUUCAAUAAAGAUUAAAAUGCAUGUUGAUUGUAUUUUAAAGAUAUACUCUGGAGAAGGAGGAGAAAAAUACUAAACAGAUGAUGUCACAAAGCAUUCAGUUCUUGAUGUAGGAGUUUGUGAAAAGGAAUGGCUUCAUGAUUCUUUGUUUCAUUCUGUUGCCUUCAUGAUGAGUACUUGAUACUGCUAAUAAUGAUAUUGGUGUAUUCCUUGGCAUUUAAAGGAAUAUCAAAUAUAUUCUUUACAUUAGAAAGCUUUUCUUCUGCUGAGGCUACUGAUUCACAGGAAAAAAAAACUCUUGGGUAUAAUCUACAAAUGAAAAACAGUUGAUGACAGGAAGCAAACGUGGAGGAGGUAAAGAGAUGGUGAAGAGAUGGCAAAAGUGGGUAGACACUGAGAGAGGAAAUAUUAGAGGAAGGAAGAUGAGGGAGAAUGGGUGGGAUUAAAACAAAAGAGAGUGAUUUUUCUCCUUUUGGCUUAGGCCUCAACCAACCGUGUCCUGGCUUUCUUCCUCUUACAUCUACCCUGAUGAUCACCCUCCAGCUAUUAAAAUCACUCUAAUUCUGGUGCUAAUCCAGUUCCUCCUGACUUUUUACCUUUGCAUCCACAGGUAUCCUAAGUUCACAUGGCCACCAUAACUGUCACUGGGCUUUGUUUUCCUCAUUCCGUUGUCAUUUAUUAGGAAGCCUUCUUUCUUUCUUUCUUUUUAAAUUUUUUUAUGUUAAUUUAUUUUUGAGGGAGAGAAAGAGUACAAACAGAGGAGGGGCAGAGACAGAGGGAGACACAGAAUCCGAAGCAGGCUCUAGGCUUUGAGUUGUCAGCACAGAGCCUGAUGUGGGGCUUGAACCCAUGAACUGUCAGGUCAUGACCUAAGCUGAAGUUGGAGGAUUAACCAAUUGAGCCAGUCAGGUGCUGCUAGGAAGCUUUCUUGAAUAUUCAAAUAUUUCCACUUAGUUAAUGAACAGAUUCACUGUGAAUAAUAAUGCAGUGUCACUUUAUGUAUGCCAGGUAGUGUUCUAGGCUCUGGAUAUAAAGAACUUAAUGAGUUGAAGUCUCAAUUCCCAUUGAGCUUAUGUUACAACACAUGAAUAAGUAUAUAUUUGAAUUGCUUUGGGGAGAAAAAAAUGCAAAUGAAGGGGGUAGAGAAUCACAGAGUAUGCUACUUUAGAAAGGGUAGUUAAGGAAGUUUUGUCUGUGGAGGUGAUAUUUAAGCAGAAAUCUGAAUGAUGUGAGGGAACAAGCCAUAUGAGUUUCAGGGCAGUAUGUGCUUGGUGAGACAAGUGCAUAGGCUUACGUUUGAUGUCUUCAAGGGUCAGCAAGAAGUGCAGUGGAUGGAUGGGGAGAAUGGUAGGAAAUGAGGUUAAGAGUUAGGCAGAGGCUGGUCAUAAGCCUGAUAGACCACAGUAAAGUUCUUGGAUUUUAUUUUAAGAGUGAUGAGGUGGAUUCACUCCAUGCUAGGGGUAUCUUCUCAGAUGAGAGCAGAGCUGCAAGGUAUCAGAAUUCUUACGCACUUACCCAGUUGCAUGUAUUAAUAUAAAUAUUGUAGUAGAAAUGGGAAAUGGUUGUUCAGGACAGCUUACGCUGAGUCACAUUACUGAAGGUCUGUUUUACCUUCAGAAGAGGACUACAGUACCGUAAUGAGAUAGGUGACUGUUCUCCUGGGAAG
Panthera uncia (snow leopard) is the source of this 3617-nucleotide long non-coding RNA. RefSeq lists it as uncharacterized. The transcript is spliced from 5 exons. Lineage: Eukaryota; Metazoa; Chordata; Mammalia; Carnivora; Felidae. The record is from RefSeq and is a predicted model, not a curated record.